GACGGACGCUGGCGGCGUGCUUAACACAUGCAAGUCGAACGGAAAGGCCCUGCUUUUGUGGGGUGCUCGAGUGGCGAACGGGUGAGUAACACGUGAGUAACCUGCCCUUGACUUUGGGAUAACUUCAGGAAACUGGGGCUAAUACCGGAUAGGAGCUCCUGCUGCAUGGUGGGGGUUGGAAAGUUUCGGCGGUUGGGGAUGGACUCGCGGCUUAUCAGCUUGUUGGUGGGGUAGUGGCUUACCAAGGCUUUGACGGGUAGCCGGCCUGAGAGGGUGACCGGCCACAUUGGGACUGAGAUACGGCCCAGACUCCUACGGGAGGCAGCAGUGGGGAAUAUUGCACAAUGGGCGGAAGCCUGAUGCAGCAACGCCGCGUGCGGGAUGACGGCCUUCGGGUUGUAAACCGCUUUCGCCUGUGACGAAGCGUGAGUGACGGUAAUGGGUAAAGAAGCACCGGCUAACUACGUGCCAGCAGCCGCGGUGAUACGUAGGGUGCGAGCGUUGUCCGGAUUUAUUGGGCGUAAAGGGCUCGUAGGUGGUUGAUCGCGUCGGAAGUGUAAUCUUGGGGCUUAACCCUGAGCGUGCUUUCGAUACGGGUUGACUUGAGGAAGGUAGGGGAGAAUGGAAUUCCUGGUGGAGCGGUGGAAUGCGCAGAUAUCAGGAGGAACACCAGUGGCGAAGGCGGUUCUCUGGGCCUUUCCUGACGCUGAGGAACGAAAGCGUGGGGAGCGAACAGGCUUAGAUACCCUGGUAGUCCGCGCUGUAAACGGUGGGUACUAGGUGUGGGGUCCAUUCCACGGGUUCCGUGCCGUAGCUAACGCUUUAAGUACCCCGCCUGGGGAGUACGGCCGCAAGGCUAAAACUCAAAGGAAUUGACGGGGCCCCGCACAAGCGGCGGAGCAUGCGGAUUAAUUCGAUGCAACGCGUAGAACCUUACCUGGGUUUGACAUGGAUCGGGAGUGCUCAGAGAUGGGUGUGCCUCUUUUGGGGUCGGUUCACAGGUGGUGCAUGCCUGUCGUCAGCUCGUGUCGUGAGAUGUUGGGUUAAGUCCCGCAACGAGCGCAACCCUUGUUCACUGUUGCCAGCACGUUAUGGUGGGGACUCAGUGGAGACCGCCGGGGUCAACUCGGAGGAAGGUGGGGAUGACGUCAAGUCCUCAUGCCCCUUAUGUCCAGGGCUUCACGCAUGCUACAAUGGCUGGUACAGAGAGUGGCGAGCCUGUGAGGGUGAGCGAAUCUCGGAAAGCCGGUCUCAGUUCGGAUUGGGGUCUGCAACUCGACCUCAUGAAGUCGGAGUCGCUAGUAAUCGCAGAUCAGCAACGCUGCGGUGAAUACGUUCCCGGGGCU
This 1346-nucleotide ribosomal RNA is filed under the name uncultured bacterium. RNAcentral's name for it is "bacterial SSU rRNA". It matches the Rfam family "Bacterial small subunit ribosomal RNA", at positions 28 to 1381 of the family's 1533-position model. The record is from RNAcentral.